GACUGAGGCUACCUUGUUACGACUUCACCCCAGUUAUCGGUCCCGCCUUCGGCAGCUCCCUCCUUGCGGUUGGGUCACUGACUUCGGGCGUUACUGACUCCCAUGGUGUGACGGGCGGUGUGUACAAGACCCGGGAACGUAUUCACCGCGACAUUCUGAUUCGCGAUUACUAGCGAUUCCAGCUUCAUGUAGUCGAGUUGCAGACUACAAUCCGAACUGAGACGUUAUUUUUGAGAUUUGCUCGGCCUCGCGGCUCUGCCUCCCUUUGUUUACGCCAUUGUAGCACGUGUGUAGCCCUGCCCAUAAGGGGCAUGAUGAUUUGACGUCAUCCC
Molecule: ribosomal RNA, 332 nt
Filed under: uncultured bacterium
Lineage: Bacteria
Description: partial 16S ribosomal RNA
Source: RNAcentral